CCCCCUCCCCACCCCUCCUCCUGUUCUGCCUCUCACUGGAUGUUGUGGUUAAAAAGGGAGAGUAAGGGCACAUUCAAGUUUUUCAGUGCGACUGAAGGAUCACUUUUUCCCUCUUCCCCCGGUGGAGUAUGGGGGAAUGGAGCAGAGGGGUGUGUCGGAGCACAGAUGGGCUCUAUUUUGAUUGUGGAGCGUUGGUUGUUAUGGGAGACGGAAGGAGGGGAGGGGCCACGUGGUGCUUAUGCCUAUAUAAGACUUGCACUUAAACUCCAAAGAGCCUGGUCAUCCCAUGGCCCAGGCUGAUCCAGACUCCGACAAAGUUGACCAACUUUGAAACUGCUUCCACUUCUGACAGCCCUUACUGGAAUAAUCUGUGAUUUCAAGGACUUGAGAUUUUAUGACCUCACCUACAACAACAUUUGGAUUUACAUUCAUUUUUUUCAGCUAUUGACCAUUAUUUUUUAUUUUUGCUUUUGAUCAUCAUUGCAACCUGCAAUGUUCUGAUCCAACAAAGAGAAGAUGCUGAAGACAACAAGUGCCAGAUUUUUCACACCUCCAUGAAACUGCAUCCAUAUUAAUAUGAAUUAGAGCUACACACAUCUGUCUGCAUGUGUUUAUGCACUUGUUUUAUUUGGUAUGCUGGUGCGGGUGGAUGUGAUGUAACAUCAGGUUGGAUGUUUUCCAGAGGUAUGGCCUGUGUCCAGUCUCAUGAGGAUUCAGCCAUGCCUCUCUGUUUCCUUUGUUUGUUUGUGUGUGUGUGUGUGUGUGUGUGUGUUGAUGUGUUUGUCUGAGAAUGGGUCUGCAUAGUUUAUUUGCAUGAAAAAAGAAAAUAACCUCGCGAUCUGAGAUUAGAUAUGCAGUGUGUUUGACGUGUGCAGUGCGUGUUGACAUAUGAAAGAGGGAACUGAGGGAGUGUGUUUAGAGUUGUCAGUUCAAUUGCUAUUUAAAGAACAGAAAAGGCAGAGAAAGUCAGUUAAUGUCAGCUAGCAACAUGAAAAGCAGUAAAGACAUCUAUGCAGCACUUUUAGUUUGAUAACUAUGUCCACACAGUGACACUUUAAAUGUGUGUCUGCAUGUUUUGUUUUUUUUUCCUCCAUGUGGGUGUGAUUUGGUCAUUUGUUAUUCCAUGCUUGCAUGCUCACACACUUCUGGUUUUCUUCUGCUUUGUGGUUUUCUUGUUUGUGUGGACAAAGUGUACUUUUGCUGGGGCCAAAACUUGGUCUGUUUUUUUUCCCCCUCAUCUCAUCAUCAUGCAUAGACUACCAUACAUGCUCUCUUUCUAUCCCUCCCACUGAUUUUAGACAUACAACAUAUUUCUGUUCCUUUAAUUGGGAAGAACUUUUUGUUGAUAAAGAAUCACAGAUUUGAUCUCCUGCAGCAUCUGUAGCUGGUCACCGUUCAGCGUGGGUGUUUCUGCUUCACUCCAGUACCAGAUGUAAAUAUGUUCAGAUGUUGUGUUGAGGAGGUACAGAGGUGAACUGAGGACACAGCUGAGGCUGUCUGAAGUUAGGGCAGCGGCCUUUUGAUGUAUGAUGUCAUCUGCAGUUGUUUGUCUGCUUGUGUGCUUUACUGGACUUUUUUAGAGGUCGUGGCUGGGUCCUGGCGAGGAGAGCUGUGGCUUGGCCAUCCUUAAAGGUGCCUAACUGACACUACCAGGGUUAGAGUGCUGCCUACUGGGAUUACCUGGCUGUGCUGCUUUGAAGUGAGACUGCUUCUGAUAAACAGGAAGGACUGAACAGGUGCUGGAGCUGGCUGACUCAUCCGCUCAGCAUGUGCUCUUUGCAUUCAUUACUCAACUCAGUGAUCAAACCAUAAAGAAACACAUUAUGUCUAAUAAAAACACGAGUGCAAAGCAA
Molecule: long non-coding RNA, 1853 nt
Organism: Scatophagus argus
Lineage: Eukaryota; Metazoa; Chordata; Actinopteri; Scatophagidae
Exons: 2
Source: RefSeq, a predicted model, not a curated record